Molecule: long non-coding RNA, 2475 nt
Organism: Antechinus flavipes (yellow-footed antechinus)
Lineage: Eukaryota; Metazoa; Chordata; Mammalia; Dasyuromorphia; Dasyuridae
Exons: 4
Source: RefSeq, a predicted model, not a curated record
GGAAACACUCCCCCCACACACACACACGGACACGCCGGCUCACAGCGACAUGUCCCCGGCCCCGCACAGCCGCUGGUCCGGCCUGCUAGGUCUGCGCCCAGAAAGAUCAGGGAGGGGCAGAGGACCCAGCCCCCAAACUGCCCCCAGCAGCGCUUUCGGUGGGGACAGAACCGGAAACUGAGAGGGGAAAGGCCGAGCCGGCUGCAGGAGAACGUUCGCCACGCAGCAUCGUCGCCCUCCAGGGAAUGAGGAGCAGCAAUAGCCAGAAACCCUCAACAGUCACACGAACGGACGCUGGGAGAAAUGAGCAGAACCAGGGGAGCAUCGUACAGCAAAGUAGCGCGUUCGAGGCUCGGCCGCGACAGGUCCGGCGUUCUCAGCAACGCAGGGGCCGAGUCCCCAGCCAAAGCUCAGGAGGAGCGCCGCCGCCCCCUCCCAGAGAGGGGCGGGGAGGCCCGCCUGCCCACCGAGGGGCUGCUCUCCCUUUCCUUAGGUUCCCCUUUGUUCUCGCUUCUUUCUCAAGAUGACUAGUGUGGAAAUCUGUUAAACACGCCUGUACACAUAUAACCCUUUAUCAGAUUGCCUGCUGUCUCAGGGAGGGGGAGGCAAGAGAGGGAGGGAGGAAAAAUGAACGCUGGAGCUACCUUUACGUGUAAUUGGAAACAACAAACUACUAUUUAUCAGGUAAAAUAAAAGAGAAGCGAUAUUCUCUCUUAUCUCUUGUAGUAGUGCUAAAAGCACGUCAUAUCUCCAGUCUUUCUUCUAUUUCUGCCUCUAUUUAGAUUUCAAUUCUAUUUCUAUUUCCAUUUUCUCCGGCCACAUACCCUGACUGCCACCAAGACUACAAGGACCAUCAGCGGCCCUCACCUUGUUCCUCUCUUACAACGUCCGACAGUGUACAGAAUGUAACUGAAUGAAUGAAUGAAUGAAUGAAGGUGGGAAGGGCAAAGUGUACGGAAUAGAACACUGAAUGAAUGAAUGAAGGUGGGAAGGGCAAAGUGUACGGAAUAGAACACUGAAUGAAUGAAUGAAGGUGGGAAGGGCAAAGUGUACCGAAUAGAACACUGAAUGAAUGAAUGAAUGAACGAAGGUGGGAAGGGCAAAGUGUACGGAAUAGAACACUGAAUGAAUGAAUGAAUGAACGAAGGUGGGAAGGGCAAAGUGUACCGAAUAGAACACUGAAUGAAUGAAUGAAUGAACGAAGGUGGGAAGGGCAAAGUGUACCGAAUAGAACACUGAAUGAAUGAAUGAAUGAACGAAGGUGGGAAGGGCAAAGUGUACGGAAUAGAACACUGAAUGAAUGAAUGAAUGAACGAAGGUGGGAAGGGCAAAGUGUACCGAAUAGAACACUGAAUGAAUGAAUGAAUGAACGAAGGUGGGAAGGGCAAAGUGUACCGAAUAGAACACUGAAUGAAUGAAUGAAUGAAGGUGGGAAGGGCAAAGUGUACCGAAUAGAACACUGAAUGAAUGAAUGAAUGAACGAAGGUGGGAAGGGCAAAGUGUACGGAAUAGAACACUGAAUGAAUGAAUGAAUGAACGAAGGUGGGAAGGGCAAAGUGUACGGAAUAAAACACUGAAUGAAUGAAUGAAGGUGUGAAGGAAGAUGGGAGUAGGGCUGGAGAAGAAAAAAGAAGUUAGGUAGGAUUGAAGUUUGGGAGCAGGGAAAUAAGCCCGAAAAGGGAAUUUGCGGUACUGCCUUGAAUGCCUGAAUGAGAAGACCUAGACCAAUCCCCAACUUUGCCAGUGACAAGUCAUUUCAGUUUUCUGGGCCUCGAUUUCCCCACUAAUAAACUUUGGGGAUGAGGGAGGUUCCCUCCUGCUCUCGGCCCUUGCUCCCACACAGUCUCGGGUCCUUCCCCUUGAGCAGAGUGUCUGGUAUGUACGCGAUGUCAAACUCACACAGAAAGAUGUAAUGGGCUGAGGCUUGAGUUGAUGCACUGAGGUCUCAAGCAAAUGAGGCUAAAUAGUAAUUGGACCAUACUCUAUUAAUAUAUAAGCUUGGAGAAAGAAUGGCCCCCACCCACUCUUUGUGCAAGUCCUGAUGUUUUGUAUAGGAAAUGACGAUUUUGGUGGGUGGAGGCAGGGGAGUGGAAAAGGAAGGGGAAGGAGAGACUUUUUGAUAUUGCUUUGCCACGGUUUGCUCAGCUCACAUCUCUCUCUGCUAGCUGGCUUCCUGUUUGUUUCUCUUCUUCUUUUUGCUUUUUUUUGCUGACGUAGUUGGGGUUAAUUGACUUGCCCAUGGUCAUACAACCAGGAAUUGUUAAGUGUCUGAGGCUGGAUUUGAACUCAGGUCCUCUUGACUUCAAGGCUGGUGCUCUAUCCACUGAGCCAUCUCCUUUUCAGUCCACUCAGCAAAACGAAUUAUAUGCAAUCAUGUUAGCUCUCACUUAUUACCCAGGAGACAUAAAUAUAAUAUCUGAUUCAGCCUAUUCAGUAGGUGUGGUACAAAGAAUUGCCACAGCCCAAAUAAAAUUU